RNAcentral lists this ribosomal RNA (451 nucleotides) under uncultured bacterium. RNAcentral's name for it is "partial 16S ribosomal RNA". It matches the Rfam family "Bacterial small subunit ribosomal RNA", at positions 29 to 523 of the family's 1533-position model. The record is from RNAcentral.
AACGAACGCUGGCGGCAGGCUUAACACAUGCAAGUCGAACGGGUGUAGCAAUACAUCAGCGGCAGACGGGUGAGUAACACGUGGGAACCUUCCUAGGGGUACGGAACAACUCAGGGAAACUUGAGCUAAUACCGUAUACGUCCGUGAGGAGAAAGAUUUAUCGCCCUUAGACGGGCCCGCGUCGGAUUAGCUAGUUGGUGGGGUAACGGCCUACCAAGGCGACGAUCCGUAGCUGAUCUUAGAGGAUGAUCAGCCACACUGGGACUGAGACACGGCCCAGACUCCUACGGGAGGCAGCAGUGGGGAAUCUUGGACAAUGGGCGCAAGCCUGAUCCAGCCAUGCCGCGUGAGUGAAGAAGGUCUUCGGAUUGUAAAGCUCUUUUGCCAGGGACGAUAAUGACGGUACCUGGAGAAUAAGCCCCGGCAAACUUCGUGCCAGUCGCCGCCGUAA